AGUGAACGCUGGCGGUAGGCCUAACACAUGCAAGUCGAACGGCAGCACAGUAAGAGCCUGCUCUUACGGGUGGCGAGUGGCGGACGGGUGAGGAAUACAUCGGAAUCUACUUUUUCGUGGGGGAUAACGUAGGGAAACUUACGCUAAUACCGCAUACGACCUACGGGUGAAAGCAGGGGAUCUUCGGACCUUGCGCGAUUGAAUGAGCCGAUGUCGGAUUAGCUAGUUGGCGGGGUAAAGGCCCGCCAAGGCGACGAUCCGUAGCUGGUCUGAGAGGAUGAUCAGCCACACUGGAACUGAGACACGGUCCAGACUCCUACGGGAGGCAGCAGUGGGGAAUAUUGGACAAUGGGCGCAAGCCUGAUCCAGCCAUACCGCGUGGGUGAAGAAGGCCUUCGGAUUGUAAAGCCCUUUUGUUGGGAAAGAAAAGCAGCAGGUUAAUACCCCGCUGUUCUGACGGUACCCAAAGAAUAAGCACCGGCUAACUUCGUG
This 492-nucleotide ribosomal RNA is filed under the name uncultured bacterium. Its description in RNAcentral is "partial 16S ribosomal RNA". It matches the Rfam family "Bacterial small subunit ribosomal RNA", at positions 29 to 507 of the family's 1533-position model. The record is from RNAcentral.